CCCAUUAAUAAAAGUAAAAUUUUAUAUGCUAAAUUGGUAAUAUACAAGAGUUUUUACGAAAUUAAACAAAAAUUUCCAUGAAUAAACUGUGUUGGAUAUGAAAUAUUUUAAUCUUGAAAGUUGACAUUAUUUUCUAACCUAAGUAUGGAUUAAAUUCAUUUUUCAACCUAAAAUGAUCCGACCCGUAUUUAAUUUGCCGCAUGAAAUAAGAAC
RNAcentral lists this long non-coding RNA (213 nucleotides) under Capsicum annuum. RNAcentral's name for it is "long non-coding RNA (CANN_LNC020710)". Lineage: Eukaryota; Viridiplantae; Streptophyta; Magnoliopsida; Solanales; Solanaceae. The record is from RNAcentral.